UCCACCCUGCUCGGACAUCUCCGUAG
RNAcentral lists this non-coding RNA (26 nucleotides) under Rattus norvegicus (Norway rat). Lineage: Eukaryota; Metazoa; Chordata; Mammalia; Rodentia; Muridae. The record is from RNAcentral.